AUCCUUGGCACCUCCCACCACACGCUCCUGAUUGGGCGCGUGAGACAAGGCUGUGUCUGCGCGCGCUCUUACCAGUCCGGGGAAUUCCAUUUCCUCUACCAACCACCGGCAUAAGCAUUCAGGGGCGUUGCUUUCCUGGCAGUGGCCCGCCCCAGUUCGAGCCGGUGCCUUACUGCGUCUCGCGAGAACGUACGCAUUUUGGGGGCGGAACCCCGUCAGGAAAAGCGCACAAAACUGCUCUUAAGUCAUUGCAGAGCUACCGCUUCGGUUAGCCAGCCACGAAGUUCUCGCGAGAGUCGUCUCCUCGAUACCAAGUGAGGAAACUGGGGGACGCUGUGGGGAGGGGCGUGGGGCUGGAUCGCGCAGCGGCUGCUUCCUUUACCUUCCUCCCAUGGUCUCCUUCCGGUUCUCGAUGCUUCUCUGAGCCUAAGGGUUUCCGCCACUCGUUUACCCUCCCCCCAGCUCAUGAUCCUCCUCCCUCCCCCGCCCUCCUGGUCCAAUCUCCGAUCUGUUUAGUAAGAAGGUGCUGUUCCGAGAAGGAGAAGGAAAAGGGCUUGACACGUAUUCACUCGGCCCCGGACGUGGGAAGCAAGCCGUCUGGCUUCGGCCUCACAUCGGUCCUGUGCUCGGGACGGCGGCGUUGGCGGACUGAUCUGCGGCGGUGAAGAGGCAGGAGGAGGGGGAGGGGCGGAGCGUGGCAGCUGGCAGUAGUUCCGUCAGAGCGGACAUCUUGUGGCUGUGUCGUGCGCGUGAGCCCCGUAGGGCCGGGGAGGCACCAGCUGCCGCGCGGGGAGGAGGCCGAGGCCGCAGCUUGAGGGAGGCCCCGGCCCCUCUGCGCCUGUGUCUGGCAGAGCUGGUGUGAGACGAGACAAUCCUGCCCCGCCGCCGGGAUAAUCAAGAGUUUUGGCCGGACCUUUGAGCAUACACCGAGAGAGUGAGGAGCCAGACGACAAGCACACACUAUGGCGCUGAAACGGAUUAAUAAGGAACUUAGUGAUUUGGCCCGUGACCCUCCAGCACAAUGUUCUGCAGGUCCAGUUGGGGAUGAUAUGUUUCAUUGGCAAGCCACAAUUAUGGGACCUAUAAGCAACUAUAUGCUGGAUAAUUGAAUAUUCAGAAUUAUGGAUACCAUCUAAGAAUUUCAGAGAAUUAGAGCGCACUAAAACAUCCUGGGAAUGACAGCCCAUAUCAAGGCGGUGUAUUCUUUUUGACAAUUCAUUUUCCUACAGACUACCCCUUCAAACCACCUAAGGCAAG
This 1257-nucleotide long non-coding RNA is filed under the name Pan troglodytes (chimpanzee). RNAcentral describes it as "long non-coding RNA NONPTRT013159". The record is from RNAcentral. Lineage: Eukaryota; Metazoa; Chordata; Mammalia; Primates; Hominidae.